AGAGUUUGAUCCUGGCUCAGAUUGAACGCUGGCGGAAUGCUUUACACAUGCAAGUCGAGCGGCAGCGCGGGGCAACCUGGCGGCGAGCGGCGAACGGGUGAGUAAUACAUCGGAACGUACCCAAUCGUGGGGGAUAACUAUCCGAAAGGAUGGCUAAUACCGCAUAAGUCCUGAGGGAGAAAGCAGGGGAUCGCAAGACCUUGCGCGAAUGGAGCGGCCGAUGUCGGAUUAGCUAGUUGGUGGGGUAAAGGCCUACCAAGGCGACGAUCCGUAGCUGGUCUGAGAGGACGACCAGCCACACUGGAACUGAGACACGGUCCAGACUCCUACGGGAGGCAGCAGUGGGGAAUUUUGGACAAUGGGGGCAACCCUGAUCCAGCCAUUCCGCGUGAGUGAAGAAGGCCUUCGGGUUGUAAAGCUCUUUCGGCAGGGAAGAAACGGUUCAGGCUAAUACCCUGGACUAAUGACGGUACCUGAAGAAGAAGCACCGGCUAACUACGUGCCAGCAGCCGCGGUAAUACGUAGGGUGCGAGCGUUAAUCGGAAUUACUGGGCGUAAAGCGUGCGCAGGCGGUUUUGUAAGACAGAUGUGAAAUCCCCGGGCUUAACCUGGGAACUGCGUUUGUGACUGCAAGACUCGAGUGCGGCAGAGGGGGGUGGAAUUCCACGUAGCAGUGAAAUGCGUAGAGAUGUGGAGGAACACCGAUGGCGAAGGCAGCCCCCUGGGUCGACACUGACGCUCAUGCACGAAAGCGUGGGGAGCAAACAGGAUUAGAUACCCUAGUAGUCC
RNAcentral lists this ribosomal RNA (789 nucleotides) under uncultured bacterium. RNAcentral describes it as "bacterial SSU rRNA". It matches the Rfam family "Bacterial small subunit ribosomal RNA", at positions 8 to 796 of the family's 1533-position model. The record is from RNAcentral.